UACGGAGGAUGCGAGCGUUAUCCGGAUUUAUUGGGUUUAAAGGGUGCGCAGGCGGCGUGUCAAGUCAGCGGUCAAACUGCGGCGCUCAAUGCCGUACCGCCGUUGAAACUGGCGCGCUCGAGUGUGUGCGAGGAUGGCGGAAUGCGCGGUGUAGCGGUGAAAUGCAUAGAUAUCGCGCAGAACUCCGAUUGCGAAGGCAGCUGUCCAGCACGCCACUGACGCUCAUGCACGAAAGCGUGGGUAUCGAACA
RNAcentral lists this ribosomal RNA (250 nucleotides) under uncultured prokaryote. RNAcentral's name for it is "partial 16S ribosomal RNA". It matches the Rfam family "Bacterial small subunit ribosomal RNA", at positions 524 to 774 of the family's 1533-position model. The record is from RNAcentral.